AGCGGCAGGCUUAACACAUGCAAGUCGAGGGGUAGAAUGUCUUCGGAUGUUUGAGACCGGCGAACGGGUGCGUAACACGUAUGCAACCUACCUUUUACUGGGAGAUAGCCCGGAGAAAUCCGGAUUAAUAUCCCAUAUGCUCGUACGAUCUCCUGAUCGAGCGAGGAAAGCUCCGGCGGUAAAAGAUGGGCAUGCGUCCCAUUAGCUAGUUGGUGAGGUAAUGGCUCACCAAGGCUACGAUGGGUAGGGGGCCUGAGAGGGUGACCCCCCACACUGGUACUGAGACACGGACCAGACUCCUACGGGAGGCAGCAGUGAGGAAUAUUGGGCAAUGGAGGCAACUCUGACCCAGCCAUGCCGCGUGCAGGAUGACGGUCCUUUGGAUUGUAAACUGCUUUUAUUUGGGAAUAAACCCUUCUACGUGUAGAAGGCUGAAUGUACCAUUUGAAUAAGCACCGGCUAACUCCGUGCCAGCAGCCGCGGUAAUACGGAGGGUGCAAGCGUUAUCCGGAUUUAUUGGGUUUAAAGGGUCCGUAGGCGGAUCUUUAAGUCAGUGGUGAAAUCCUGCAGCUUAACUGUAGAAUUGCCAUUGAUACUGGAGAUCUUGAGUACACUGGAAGUAGGCGGAAUACGGCAUGUAGCGGUGAAAUGCAUAGAUAUGCCGUAGAACACCGAUUGCGAAGGCAGCUUACUAUCGUGUAACUGACGCUGAGGGACGAAAGCGUGGGUAGCGAACAGGAUUAGAUACCC
This 750-nucleotide ribosomal RNA is filed under the name uncultured Flavobacteriales bacterium. RNAcentral describes it as "bacterial SSU rRNA". It matches the Rfam family "Bacterial small subunit ribosomal RNA", at positions 38 to 787 of the family's 1533-position model. The record is from RNAcentral. Lineage: Bacteria; Pseudomonadati; Bacteroidota; Flavobacteriia; Flavobacteriales.